This 503-nucleotide ribosomal RNA is filed under the name uncultured bacterium. Its description in RNAcentral is "partial 16S ribosomal RNA". It matches the Rfam family "Bacterial small subunit ribosomal RNA", at positions 28 to 523 of the family's 1533-position model. The record is from RNAcentral.
GUUGAACGCUGGCGGCAGGCUUGACACAUGCAAGUCGAGCGGGGGAAGGUAGCUUGCUACUGGACCUAGCGGCGGACGGGUGAGUAAUGCUUAGGAAUCUGCCUAUUAGUGGGGGACAACAUCUCGAAAGGGCUGCUAAUACCGCAUACGUCCUACGGGAGAAAGCAGGGGAUCACUUGUGACCUUGCGCUAAUAGAUGAGCCUAAGUCGGAGUAGCUAGUUGGUGGGGUAAAGGCCUACCAAGGCGACGAUCUGUAGCGGGUCUGAGAGGAUGAUCCGCCGCACUGGGACUGAGACACAGCCCAGACUCCUACGGGAGGCAGCAGUGGGGAAUAUUGGACAAUGGGGGGAACCCUGAUCCAGCCAUGCCGCGUGUGUGAAGAAGGCCUUAUGGUUGUAAAGCACUUUAAGCGAGGAGGAGGCUCUUUUGGUUAAUACCCAAGAUGAGUGGACGUUACUCACAGAAUAAGCACCGGCUAACUCUGUGCCAGCCGCCGCGGUAA